UACUCUGCUGGAAAAGGGGGUUCGCCUACCCCUCCACGCCUUCAUAGUUACCCUCCUAGGGUUUAUUGGAGUAGGAUUCGCACAACUGGUGCCUAACUCCUAUAUCCAUAUAUUGGCGUUCAUCGCCUUCUGUCAUGAAUUAGAGGUUACCCCCUCUGUUGAUCUCUUCUUCACCCUCUUCUCGGCUGGCAGAUCCCGAGAACGAGGGUUCAAAAUGCUGAGCAAACAGUCCCCACGCCCAAACUCGAAAUUCGAGAAGAGGCCCCUGAUGAGCACCCCCUCGAGCAACAAAGGAUGGCACGAGAAAUGGUUCUUCGUCACUGGUCCU
This 328-nucleotide long non-coding RNA is filed under the name Panax ginseng (ginseng). Its description in RNAcentral is "long non-coding RNA (PGIN_LNC009587)". Lineage: Eukaryota; Viridiplantae; Streptophyta; Magnoliopsida; Apiales; Araliaceae. The record is from RNAcentral.